GUAGGUGAACCUGCGGAAGGAUCAUUGCAAAUCAGAGUUGGAAUGUGAUGGGGUGAGAGUGGGGAGUUUGAGAGUAAUCUUGAAUAUCUUGCUAUUGCUACCAUUUCAUUUCCACAUAUGCACAGCGUGCUUGGAUGGGAGGAGCUAACCCUUUUCUUGUUUCUGCCGCUGAUGUUUACGCUUGUUUGUUUGACAAAUCUAUUACAUCUAAAUAUACAAAACUUUUAACAACGGAUCUCUUGGCUCUUGC
Molecule: unclassified non-coding RNA, 250 nt
Filed under: plant metagenome
Description: partial contains small subunit ribosomal RNA, internal transcribed spacer 1, and 5.8S ribosomal RNA
Source: RNAcentral